GCUUCUCACUGCGCUGCUGCGGAUGCCGCAAGAUAAAAAAUCUUCCGAUUUUCAUUUGUAGUUGCUUUGAAAUUU
This is a non-coding RNA of Tribolium castaneum (red flour beetle), 75 nucleotides long. The record is from RefSeq and is marked provisional. Lineage: Eukaryota; Metazoa; Arthropoda; Insecta; Coleoptera; Tenebrionidae.